Ochotona princeps (American pika) is the source of this 82-nucleotide small nucleolar RNA. Its record names the gene SNORD24. It matches the Rfam family "Small nucleolar RNA SNORD24". From Rfam's summary of the family: U24 is a member of the C/D class of snoRNA which contain the C (UGAUGA) and D (CUGA) box motifs. NCBI's taxonomy places the organism in Eukaryota, Metazoa, Chordata, Mammalia, Lagomorpha, Ochotonidae. The record is from Ensembl.
UGCCAAAAUGAUGACAUUGUAUUUGCUACUCUUGACUGCAAGUGUGACGAGACUUGUAACCACCGAUCUCCUGGCUGAGGCA